AUGGCAUUUUCGUUAAUUUGUGUUAAUUAUUGUCUGUAAACUGCAGUAAUUAUACAGUUUACCUGUAAAUCACGAGACAAAUCUUUUAAGUCUAGUUACUUUAUAAUUAGAUAAUUUUUAUUAAAUAAAAAUGAAAUUGCUACAGUGUUAAAAUCUAAAAAGUUUUUAGAUCUAAACAAGGCUAUAGUGUGUAUGUGUGGAGAGAG
RNAcentral lists this long non-coding RNA (206 nucleotides) under Sorghum bicolor (sorghum). RNAcentral's name for it is "long non-coding RNA (SBIC_LNC016709)". The record is from RNAcentral. Lineage: Eukaryota; Viridiplantae; Streptophyta; Magnoliopsida; Poales; Poaceae.